Molecule: ribosomal RNA, 239 nt
Filed under: uncultured bacterium
Lineage: Bacteria
Description: partial 16S ribosomal RNA
Rfam family: Bacterial small subunit ribosomal RNA
Source: RNAcentral
GUGACGCUACGGGACGCAGCAGUGGGGAAUAUUGGGCAAUGGGCGCAAGCCUGACCCAGCAACGCCGCGUGAAGGAAGAAGGCUUUCGGGUUGUAAACUUCUUUUCUCAGGGACGAAGCAAGUGACGGUACCUGAGGAAUAAGCCACGGCUAACUACGUGCCAGCAGCCGCGGGAAUACGUAGGUGGCAAGCGUUAUCCGGAUUUACUGGGUGUAAAGAGUGUGUGGGCGGGGACGGCA